RNA transcript from Mangifera indica (mango), 2014 nucleotides. RefSeq lists it as uncharacterized. The transcript is spliced from 19 exons. The record is from RefSeq and is a predicted model, not a curated record. NCBI's taxonomy places the organism in Eukaryota, Viridiplantae, Streptophyta, Magnoliopsida, Sapindales, Anacardiaceae.
CGAAGGUCGUCUUCUUGUAAAUAAUCCCGAAAGCGAAGGGGAGGAUUGGAAGAAGUCCAUUAGCCCACUCACCCGCCCACAUUCCUCACUUUAGCGAGCCAAACCCGUGUUCCAGUUUCUUGUUAAUCUUACUUAUUUUCAAACUCUGCGAUUCCAAUUGAAUUUGGAAAUUCUCAUGUCGUAUCCUAGCUCAUAGCACACUCUUCACAAUACAUUCAUAUAAGAUUACAGUCAAAUUAAUAAACGAAUUGAUAAACUCCCGGUCAUGUCUCUUCCUCUCGGCAAGUUAACAAUCCUUCUUGGGGCAGGUAUUGUUGGAUCAGUUCUUGCAAAAGAAGGGCGCCUUUCAAAUGUUUCUGAUUUGGUUUCGGGUGCUUUAAAGAUUUUCUCCAAUUCAAUUAAACAAGUUGAAUCUCAUUUGUCUGCUAGCAAGCCACAGAAUGACACUUUGAUAGCUCAGGUUAAUUAUCUAAGAAAGGAGCUGGAUAGCUUGAAUUUUAACUCUCCAAUUACUGUUGUAACUGGAAGUGGAUCAGGUGGUACAAAGUAUGGCAUAAUUAUUGUUGUUGUAGUAGUUGGAUAUGGCUACAUUUGGUGGAAGGGCUGGAAGCUUCCUGAUCUGAGAUUUGCUACUAAACGUAGUUUAUUUGAUGCCUGCGGUGUUGUAUCCAAACAGCUUGAGGAUGUUUAUUCUUCAAUCUCGUCUGCCCAGAGGCAGUUGUCUUCAAAGGUUACCAGGGUGGAUCAUGAUGUGAAUAGAGUAGCAGAAAUAUCUCAGGCUACACAGGAAGAGGUUUCUAUACUUCAAGGAAGAUCAAGGAUGAUAGGUGAGGAAUUUCAGUCUGUUCGUGAGGUCGUUCAAAGUCUGGAAGUGAAGCUUAGUGAAAUAGAAGGCAAGCAGGAUUACACAACCCAAGGAGUGCUGAAGUUGUGUGAUUAUGCCCAAAGACAGGGAAGUGGUGGAACUGCAGAGCAUAUUCAGGCUUUGCAUUGCAGUUCCUCCAAGAAAACUCUUGAAUCACCAACAAUUACACCAUCAAGGACCGGGUCUUUGCCUCUGUCGCUUGAGCUGCCAUCUCCAUCCAAUUCUAAUGGAUCUCAGAAGGGUCAGUGGCCUUCUGUCUCACCCUCUGGCCUGAAGGAUUUUAGUGAAGUUUCAGAAGUGGGUGAGUCAACAAGUUUUGGAGUUCCUAAUGGAAACGGAGCUUCAGAAGACUGGAGCAAGAGGUCUUCAAGUAAUGGAGUGCUUGGGCUCGGGAAACGUUUUCGUGGUUCAGUUUUGACAAGACAGUGCAGUUCAAAAAAUGCAGUUGCAGAACUAGCACUUUCAAGUGGACAGCAAUGAGCAGUAAAAUAACAAAGGUGUGGGAGAUCAUCACAGCUGCCCGUAUUGUCAUUUCAGGCCUAGAUCAGAACUUUUAAACACUAAAAUCCAAUCCAUUCAAGUCAUUUCAGUGAGGAAAACUUAUGGGCUGCAAUUGGUAGAUUUGGAGUAGGUAGUCGAGCAACAGAAGAUGUAAUGGAUAAAGUGUGAAAUAGGCAUUAUCAGGCAAUAGAUUAUCAGUCACUCCAAAACUUGCUUUUAGAUGCAUCUGCUUUUGUUUCACUUGACUUAGUUGUGAAAAAUGUGGUGAAUUUGUGCAGUUGGCAUGUACAUUAGCGUUUGAAGCUGUUUGUGGCUCCUUAUGUGAUACUGGCAUCAAUCAUCCAAACCAAUACUUCAGCGAGAGCCAGAAGAUUUUGCAAUCUAAGAGCAAUGCAGGGGCAUAAAAGAGACGGAAUUUCCGGCAUCUACCCGAAUAUUACUAAUGCAGUGGACCGUAUGAGGUAAGACUUGGAGUACGCAAUCAUUCGUAUUCACAUGCUCAUCAAUAAAGUAUGGUGUUUGUAUUUGAUUGUUUAUGAACUAUGUUAGUAUAUUUAUUCUAGCAUGUUGAUUUUUUUUAUGGUCGUGAAACAUGAAAAAUGGGUUCUGCCAAUAUAAGUAUUUUUAAAUUCUGGUUUCCACGAAGAC